AUGAAUAUAGUUUAAAUGGUAAAACAUAAUUAUGCCAAAAUUAAAAAUGCGCGUUCAAAUCGCGUUGUUCAUA
Molecule: transfer RNA, 73 nt
Filed under: Nephromyces sp. ex Molgula occidentalis
Lineage: Eukaryota; Apicomplexa; Aconoidasida; Nephromycida
Description: tRNA-Gly
Rfam family: tRNA
About the family: Transfer RNA (tRNA) molecules are approximately 80 nucleotides in length. Their secondary structure includes four short double-helical elements and three loops (D, anti-codon, and T loops).
Source: RNAcentral